GUAGGUGAACCUGCGGAAGGAUCAUUACAGAGUUCAUGCCCGAAAGGGUAGACCUCCCACCCUUGUGUAUUAUUACUUUGUUGCUUUGGCGAGCUGCUCUUCGGGGCCUUGUAUGCUCGCCAGAGAAUAUCAAAACUCUUUUUAUUAAUGUCGUCUGAGUACUAUAUAAUAGUUAAAACUUUCAACAACGGAUCUCUUGGUUCUGGCAUCGAUGAAGAACGCAGCGAAAUGCGAUAAGUAAUGUGAAUUGCAGAAUUCAGUGAAUCAUCGAAUCUUUGAACGCACAUUGCGCCCCUUGGUAUUCCGGGGGGCAUGCCUGUUCGAGCGUCAUUUCAACCCUCAAGCUCAGCUUGGUAUUGAGUCCAUGUCAGUAAUGGCAGGCUCUAAAAUCAGUGGCGGCGCCGCUGGGUCCUGAACGUAGUAAUAUCUCUCGUUACAGGUUCUCGGUGUGCUUCUGCCAAAACCCAAAUUUUCUAUGGUUGACCUCGGAUCAGGUAGGGAUACCCGCUGAACUUAAGCAUAUCAAUAAGCGGAGGAAAUCUCUGU
This 546-nucleotide ribosomal RNA is filed under the name Sclerotinia sclerotiorum. RNAcentral's name for it is "eukaryotic LSU rRNA". The stretch from base 177 to 330 matches the Rfam family "5.8S ribosomal RNA". The record is from RNAcentral. Lineage: Eukaryota; Fungi; Ascomycota; Leotiomycetes; Helotiales; Sclerotiniaceae.